CCCAGGCAUUACAUGCUGGAAGUUCCAGGAUAUGAAUCCUCUGGCCGUUCACAUCCUCCUCCUGGAGGUUUCCUAAUUUAGGACUACAGGAUUACACAGAGAGUCUUAUCUCCAUCCCCCGCCCCCAGCUCCUUCCCUACAGCUUUAAUCCCCUGUUGUCACAGGCAGACAAUGCAGCUGAACCCUAUUACGCAGAAGGAACUGUCAGAUGGCGGAUUCUUAAUGGGCUUUGAAGUACCACAGAGAGCAUCCACUCUAAUUGAGGUUCUGCAGGAUCAUACACUGUAAUUCAGGAGAUAACCUUACACAUCUCCAUUCCUUUAUUGAUGGUCAGGAAGGAAAGCGAUGACUUAAAAUUGCUUGGAAAGAUUUCUGACAGCUCUAGAUUAAAAAGUGCCAGGUACUUCACUUUCCCUCCAAUGCAAUCUCCCAUCAACUAAACAAAGAUUAGGCAGAAUUUUGAAUUAUUAUCCUAUUAAAUAAAUAAUGACUAAAGCUCA
RNAcentral lists this long non-coding RNA (500 nucleotides) under Monodelphis domestica (gray short-tailed opossum). RNAcentral's name for it is "lncRNA (ENSMODG00000049182.1)". Lineage: Eukaryota; Metazoa; Chordata; Mammalia; Didelphimorphia; Didelphidae. The record is from RNAcentral.